AAGAAGGAAGCAGAGCUGGAGGAGUGAGUUCUAGCCUGAAAGGUCUGGGAACUAGCAGCUUCAGGUGGAGCAGACUGACAGAAUGAGCUCUGUAUAUGGCUGAAGGACAAGAGCUAAGUGCAAGGAAGCCACUUUGCUGCCUGGCUACUGAAGAUCAGAAAAUAUCUGAAAUGUAUUCUAACUCCUGAUGAGCAGAAAAUACUAGUACAAUUUCAGCUUAUUGGGGUAAAGUCCAUGAAGUAGCAGAUAUAAAUGUCGUCAAUAUACACCAAAAAAAGACUAAAAAGAUAUUGAUCCAGUGGAAGUAUUUGGCUCUUAAUCCUCUACUCAGGACCACUCUCAAGAGAUGCUAGUGCCAUCAAUGUCAAAAAUCUUGCACUGGUGACAUGCGGUCCUCACUCCAGAAAUCAGACUGCCAGGGUGGAGAGAAACUGGAAAAUCAGGGAAGUGGCCUGUGAAAGCUGCAGUAGGAAGGAGGCAGAGCUCUGCCUCUAUAGAGGAAUGGCACUUUAACAGAACCAUUUGUGCUGUGAGAAGUUGAAUUGUAGGCAGCUGGUCUUGCUGGAUCCAUUGAUCUGAGAGAUUCUGGAUGGCUUCUGGUUUAAAAGAGAAAGCACUGAAAUACAGAUAAAUGCCCUGAUAUUUGCCAUGGUAAUUCUGCUGAUGACCUCCUAUGUACCCUACCCCUCAUUGGAGGAAAAGCAAGAAUACAUCAAAGUGAAAGAGGCUUCUGAUGCCAAUUUCAUCAGUAAACAUAAUAUUAAAUAUGAAAUAGCCAAAAUUGAAUAGGAAAUGCCAGGAACAAGGGAAACAGCUGAGACUAUUACUGCAGUUUAUAGUCUUUCUGAAUAUACAAAUAUGGAAUAUUAAAGAACUAAUAUGAGACAGGAUAAUUUAUUGACACAUGUUUAGUUAGACCCAGAUCUCUCACUCACUCGCAGAAGGUGAGAAAGAAACAGUAUGUGACUUACAUAGAAGAAACCUAGCUUAUAAUUGAAUCAGGUGAUAUUGACCCAGUAAAGAAGAUGCAAAUAUGAAAUGGCAAUUGGAUCAAAUUUACAACAUAAGAACAGUGCACAACUAGAGAGUGGGACACCAAAGAACCUAAAUAGGAGGGAAGCAUGGAAAAGCUGAAGAAAAUUUGGCAAGAAACCAAGCCACAGCUGGCAACAGUGUGUGAUCAGCAAAAAAAUGUGGAAUGUAAUAGAUUCCAUAAAAUGGAACAUCUUGUGGUAGCAUGCAAGCCAUCAAGAGCAGUGGAAACAAUCCAAGAGGCAGAGUUAUCAGAUGGCAAUGAGACCAUACUUCUAGACACUAUAUCUUCAGUGAAACAGAGAACACCUGGAUACACACGCAUAAAUCUAUGGUCAAAACCUUAAAUUUAAAGAGGAUACUGGGUUAGCA
This is a long non-coding RNA of Mauremys reevesii (Reeves's turtle), 1404 nucleotides long. RefSeq lists it as uncharacterized. Lineage: Eukaryota; Metazoa; Chordata; Testudines; Geoemydidae. The transcript has 4 exons. The record is from RefSeq and is a predicted model, not a curated record.